GAACUGUUCAUGGUCCAAAGUUUGCCUC
RNAcentral lists this non-coding RNA (28 nucleotides) under Mus musculus (house mouse). Lineage: Eukaryota; Metazoa; Chordata; Mammalia; Rodentia; Muridae. The record is from RNAcentral.